AAAGUCGUAACAAGGUUUCCGUAGGUGAACCUGCGGAAGGAUCAUCAACAAAUCCUAAUUACCAACCCAUGUGUGAAGCGUAGUUGUUGUUGUUGUUGAAAUAAAUGUUUGACAAUAAUGAAAAUGUGUGUGCAUAUGCGUGUGUGUAUGUAGUGUACGGCGCGCAUGUGCAUGCAUGUGGAUUUAUUUAAGACAUUAUAUGACAACGAUGAUAAACAUUUUUAAAAAACAAUGAACCACUUGAUCUCAACCAAAUGUAGUCUUUAAUUUUUGAUGUGUGUGUGGAUAUUAAAAUGUUGACAUACAUACAGAAAAAGAAAAAACUAAAAGACAACUUUUAACGGUGGAUCUCUUGGCUCGUGCAUCGAUGAAGAACGCAGCCAGCUGCGAUACGUAAUGUGAAUUGCAGAAUUGAGUGAAACAUCGAAUUUUUGAACGCAAAUUGCGCUCUUGGGUUAUCCUGGGAGCAUGUCUGCCUGAGUGUCACUUAAACCUAAGAUUCAAGCAACGAAUUGUUUUUAAAAACAGACAGUUGUUUCAUUGAGAAGUGGGCUUUUCACCUGAUGAUUAUUGAGUUAAUGAUUGGGUAGCCUUAAGAAGAACGAUGCGUUGAUCUGGUAUUACAAGAUUGAUGUGUAUUGCACCAAAGUGGUAAAAACCUUACAGCUUUAGAGCGAUAUCACAGCCAUUUAUGAUUUUGUUUUCGCCGCAGCAUCCAACACAUACACUAACAAAACUUAAACUUUUGACCUCAGAUCAGACAAGACUACCCGCUG
Molecule: ribosomal RNA, 776 nt
Filed under: uncultured eukaryote
Lineage: Eukaryota
Description: eukaryotic LSU rRNA
Rfam family: 5.8S ribosomal RNA (bases 333-486)
Source: RNAcentral